CCCGCUGAACUUAAGCAUAUCAAUAAGCGGAGGAAAAGAAACUAACAAGGAUUCCCCUAGUAACUGCGAGUGAAGCGGGAAAAGCUCAAAUUUAAAAUCUGGUGGUCUUUGGCCAUCCGAGUUGUAAUUUAGAGAAGUGUCUUCCGCGCUGGACCAUGCACAAGUCUCCUGGAAUGGAGCGUCAUAGAGGGUGAGAAUCCCGUCUUUGGCAUGGACACACCAGGGCUUCUGUGAUGCGCUCUCGAAGAGUCGAGUUGUUUGGGAAUGCAGCUCAAAAUGGGUGGUGAACUCCAUCUAAAGCUAAAUAUUGGCGAGAGACCGAUAGCGAACAAGUACCGUGAGGGAAAGAUGAAAAGCACUUUGGAAAGAGAGUGAAGCAGUACGUGAAAUUGUUGAAAGGGAAACGCUUGAGGUCAGUCACGUUGGCCAGAAAUCAACUUGUAACAGGGCGUAAUUUCUGGUUUUACGGGUCAACAUCAAUUUUGAUUGUUGGAUAAAAGUCAAUAUUUAUGCGUUUUCGGACGUGUAGCCUUUGAUUGCAUACAAUGGUUGGGAUUGAGGAACUCAGCACGCCGCAAGGCCGGGUAACUUGUUACCACGUAACGUGCUUAGGAUGUUGGCAUAAUGGCUUUAAUCGACCCGUCUUGAAACACGG
Molecule: ribosomal RNA, 655 nt
Filed under: uncultured fungus
Lineage: Eukaryota; Fungi
Description: eukaryotic LSU rRNA
Rfam family: Eukaryotic large subunit ribosomal RNA
Source: RNAcentral